Molecule: ribosomal RNA, 443 nt
Filed under: uncultured bacterium
Lineage: Bacteria
Description: partial 16S ribosomal RNA
Rfam family: Bacterial small subunit ribosomal RNA
Source: RNAcentral
CCUACGGGUGGCUGCAGUGGGGAAUAUUGGGCAAUGGGCGAAAGCCUGACCCAGCAACGCCGCGUGAAGGAAGAAGGCUUUCGGGUUGUAAACUUCUUUUCUGAGGGACGAAGAAAGUGACGGUACCUCAGGAAUAAGCCACGGCUAACUACGGGCCAGCAGCCGCGGUAAUACGUAGGUGGCAAGCGUUAGCCGGAUUUAUUGGGGGGAAAGGGCGUGGAGGCGGGAAAGCAAGUCCGAGGUGAAAACGCAGGGCUCAACCCUGAGCCUGCAUUUGAAACUGUUUUUCUUGAGUGCUGGAGAGGCAAUCGGAAUUCCGUGUGUAGCGGUGAAAUGCGUAGAUAUACGGAGGAACACCAGUGGCGAAGGCGGAUUGCUGGACAGUAACUGACGCUGAGGCGCGAAAGCGUGGGGAGCAAACAGGAUUAGAUACCCGAGUAGUC